AGUGAACGCUGGCGGUAGGCCUAACACAUGCAAGUCGAACGGCAGCACAGUAAGAGCUUGCUCUUACGGGUGGCGAGUGGCGGACGGGUGAUGAAUACAUCGGAAUCUACUUUUUCGUGGGUGAUAACGUAGGGACACUUACGCUAAUACCGCAUACGACCUACGGGUGAAAGCAGGGGAUCUUCGGACCUUGCGCGAUUGUAUGAGCCGAUGUCGGAUUAGCUAGUUGGCGGGGUAAAGGCCCACCAAGGCGACGAUCCGUAGCUGGUCUGAGAGGAUGAUCAGCCACACUGGAACUGAGACACGGUCCAGACUCCUACGGGAGGCAGCAGUGGGGAAUAUUGGACAAUGGGCGCAAGCCUGAUCCAGCCAUGCCGCGUGGGUGAAGAAGGCCUUCGGGUUGUAAAGCCCUUUUGUUGGGAAAGAAAAGCAGCAGGUUAAUACCCCGCUGUUCUGACGUUACCCAAAGAAUAAGCACCGGCUAACUUCGUG
RNAcentral lists this ribosomal RNA (492 nucleotides) under uncultured bacterium. RNAcentral describes it as "partial 16S ribosomal RNA". It matches the Rfam family "Bacterial small subunit ribosomal RNA", at positions 29 to 507 of the family's 1533-position model. The record is from RNAcentral.